UAGGGAAUCUUCCACAAUGGACGCAAGUCUGAUGGAGCAACGCCGCGUGAGUGAAGAAGGUCUUCGGAUCGUAAAGCUCUGUUGUUGGUGAAGAAGGAUAGAGGCAGUAACUGGUCUUUAUUUGACGGUAAUCAACCAGAAAGUCACGGCUAACUACGUGCCAGCAGCCGCGGUAAUACGUAGGUGGCAAGCGUUGUCCGGAUUUAUUGGGCGUAAAGCGAGCGCAGGCGGAAUGAUAAGU
Molecule: ribosomal RNA, 241 nt
Filed under: uncultured bacterium
Lineage: Bacteria
Description: partial 16S ribosomal RNA
Rfam family: Bacterial small subunit ribosomal RNA
Source: RNAcentral